This 27-nucleotide small RNA is filed under the name Bombyx mori (domestic silkworm). RNAcentral's name for it is "ovarian small RNA-11086". Lineage: Eukaryota; Metazoa; Arthropoda; Insecta; Lepidoptera; Bombycidae. The record is from RNAcentral.
ACAGAGGUUGGCUGGCAUGAGGUGUUC